AGAAAUCUUCAUUUGAAUUAAAAUUUUAUUUUUUUAUCAGUUGUGCACAUGCAAUUGCAGUGUGAAACGUAGAUGCCUUCUGUGACUCUUAACAAUAAUUGAAAUGUAUAAAAUCAUAUAUAUUUAGCAUUUUUUUAGCUAAAAUAAUAGGCAGAAAUCUAGAUUCACACAAGAAUAACAAUCUUAAUUAUUUGUAAGAGAAAUAUUGCCACGAGAAUUUGAUU
This 224-nucleotide unclassified non-coding RNA is filed under the name Hevea brasiliensis (rubber tree). Lineage: Eukaryota; Viridiplantae; Streptophyta; Magnoliopsida; Malpighiales; Euphorbiaceae. The record is from RNAcentral.